GGCGCGGGGCCAGCUUCGCUUUGCCAGGGUCGCUGGCGGACGCGCGCCGCAGUCCGAGCCUCAGACGCGCGGGCGCGGGGGAAAGCGCAGGGGCCGCCUGGCUGGAGCAGCCAGAGGGGACAGCUUCGUCGAGAACCGAGGACCUCCUCGUCCAGCGUCCCGGGCGGUCGCGCCAGAGCAGAGCGGUGGGCGCGGUGCGAGAACGAAUCUUUGUGACAUUCUUCCUCAGCAUUUGUUACCCUCUUUGCUGAAGACUUUAACAAAAGCUGGUCUUAGCUGCUGGUAUUCUCCUGAGAAAAGGAUAGCUUCAGAAAUCAGAAAAGCAUCUGGGAGGCAUCAGGCCCAGUGCACCUUCUGAAGAGCAAUGCUAAGAAGACCUUUGGUUUGAAGAAUUAAAAGGAAGAACAACUUCUUCAGAUAAGAAGAGCUUCUUCAAAGUUUCCUGCAUGAAAAUUACUUAAACAUUGCACACAACGUGUCACAAAGUCUUUUGUGAAAGAAGAAAAGGAAAUUCAGUUUGUGGGUCUCAGCAGGAGUUAAGCUAAUGCAGCUUAAAAUAAUGCCGAAAAAGAAGCGCUUAUCUGCGGGCAGAGUGCCCCUGAUUCUCUUCCUGUGCCAGAUGAUUAGUGCACUGGAAGUACCUCUUGAUCCAAAACUUCUUGAAGACUUGGUACAACCUCCAACCAUCACCCAACAGUCUCCAAAAGAUUACAUUAUUGACCCUCGGGAGAAUAUUGUAAUCCAGUGUGAGGCCAAAGGGAAACCGCCCCCGAGCUUUUCCUGGACCCGUAAUGGAACUCAUUUUGACAUCGAUAAAGACCCUUUGGUCACCAUGAAGCCUGGCACAGGAACUCUCAUAAUUAAUAUCAUGAGUGAAGGGAAAGCCGAGACCUAUGAAGGAGUCUAUCAGUGUACAGCAAGGAACGAACGCGGAGCUGCCAUUUCCAAUAACAUUGUCGUCCGCCCAUCCCGAUCACCAUUGUGGACCAAAGAAAAACUUGAACCAAUCACACUUCAAAAUGGUCAAUCUUUAGUACUUCCCUGCAGACCCCCAAUUGGAUUACCACCACCUAUAAUAUUUUGGAUGGAUAAUUCCUUUCAAAGACUUCCACAAAGUGAGAGAGUUUCUCAAGGUCUGAAUGGGGACCUUUAUUUUUCCAAUGUCCUCCCAGAGGAUACCCGUGAAGACUAUAUCUGUUAUGCCAGAUUUAAUCAUACUCAAACCAUACAGCAGAAGCAACCUAUUUCUGUGAAGGUGAUUUCUGCUAAAUCAAAUAGAGAGAGGCCACCAACAUUUUUAACUCCAGAAGGCAAUGCAAGUAGCAAAGAGGAAUUAAGAGGAAAUGUGCUUUUACUGGAGUGCAUUGCGGAAGGACUGCCUACCCCACUUAUUUACUGGGCAAAAGAAGAUGGAAUUUUACCCACCAACAGGACAUCUUAUAAGAACUUUAAGAAAACCUUGCAGAUCACUCAUGUUUCAGAAGCAGACUCUGGAAAUUACCAAUGUAUAGCAAAAAAUGCAUUAGGAGCCAUCCACCAUACCAUUUCUGUUAGAGUUAAAGCGGCUCCAUACUGGAUCAUGGCCCCUCAAAAUCUUGUGCUGUCCCCAGGAGAGGAUGGGACCUUGAUCUGCAGAGCUAAUGGCAACCCCAAACCCAGAAUUAGCUGGUUAACAAAUGGAGUCCCAAUAGAAAUUGCCCCUGAUGACCCCAGCAGAAAAAUUGAUGGCGAUACCAUUAUUUUUUCAAAUGUUCAAGAAAGAUCAAGUGCAGUAUAUCAGUGCAAUGCCUCUAAUGAAUAUGGAUAUUUACUGGCAAACGCAUUUAUAAAUGUGCUGGCUGAGCCACCACGAAUCCUCACACCUGCAAACACACUCUACCAGGUCAUCGCAAACAGACCUGCUUUAUUAGACUGUGCCUUCUUCGGGUCUCCUCUCCCAACCAUUGAGUGGUUUAAAGGAGCUAAAGGAAGUGCUCUUCAUGAAGAUAUUUAUGUUUUACAUGAAAAUGGAACUUUGGAAAUUCCUGUGGCCCAAAAGGACAGCACGGGAACUUAUACGUGUGUUGCAAGGAAUAAAUUAGGGAUGGCAAAGAAUGACGUCCACUUAGAAAUCAAAGAUCCUACAUGGAUCAUUAAACAGCCCGAAUAUGCAGUUGUACAAAGAGGGGGCAUGGUGUCAUUUGAAUGCAAAGUGAAACAUGAUCACACCUUAGUCCUCACUGUCCUGUGGCUGAAGGACAAUGAGGAACUGCCCAAUGAUGAAAGGUUCACUGUUGACAAGGAUCAUCUGGUGGUAGCUGAUGUCAGUGACGAUGACAGUGGGACCUACACGUGUGUGGCCAACACCACUCUGGACAGCGUCUCCGCCAGCGCUGUGCUUAGCGUUGUUGCUCCUACUCCAACUCCAGUUCCCGUUUACGAUGUUCCAAAUCCUCCCUUUGACUUAGAACUGACAGAUCAACUUGACAAAAGUGUUCAGCUGUCAUGGACCCCAGGCGAUGACAACAAUAGCCCUAUUACAAAAUUCAUCAUCGAAUAUGAAGAUGCGAUGCACGAGCCAGGGCUGUGGCACCACCAAACCGAAGUUUCUGGAACACAGACCACAGCCCAGCUGAAGCUGUCUCCUUAUGUGAACUACUCCUUCCGUGUGACAGCCAUGAACAGCAUUGGGAAGAGCUUGCCCAGUGAGGCAUCUGAGCAGUAUAUGACGAAGGCCUCAGAACCAGAUAAAAACCCCACGGCUGUGGAAGGACUGGGAUCAGAGCCUGAUAAUUUGGUGAUUACUUGGAAGCCCUUGAAUGGUUUUGAAUCUAAUGGGCCAGGCCUUCAGUACAAAGUUAGCUGGCGCCAGAAAGAUGGUGAUGAUGAAUGGACGUCUGUGGUUGUGGCAAACGUGUCCAAAUAUAUUGUCUCAGGCACGCCAACCUUUGUUCCAUACCUGAUCAAAGUUCAGGCCCUGAAUGACGUGGGGUUUGCCCCCGAGCCAGCCGUAGUUAUGGGACAUUCUGGAGAAGACCUCCCAAUGGUGGCUCCCGGGAAUGUGCGGGUGAAUGUGGUGAACAGCACCUUAGCCGAAGUGCACUGGGACCCAGUACCUCUGAAAAGCAUCCGAGGACACCUACAAGGCUAUCGGAUUUACUACUGGAAGACACAGAAUUCACCUAAAAGAAACAGACGUCACAUUGAGAAAAAGAUCCUCACCUUCCAAGGCAGCAAGACGCAUGGCAUGUUGCCGGGGCUGGAGCCCUUUAGCCACUACACACUGAACGUCCGAGUGGUCAAUGGGAAGGGGGAGGGCCCAGCCAGCCCUGACAGAGUCUUUAAUACUCCAGAAGGAGUCCCCAGUGCUCCCUCGUCUUUGAAGAUUGUGAAUCCGACACUGGACUCUCUCACUUUGGAAUGGGAUCCACCGAGCCACCCGAAUGGCAUUUUGACAGAGUACACCUUAAAGUAUCAGCCAAUUAACAGCACACAUGAAUUAGGCCCUCUGGUAGAUUUGAAAAUUCCUGCCAAUAAGACGCAGUGGACCUUAAAAAAUUUAAAUUUCAGCACUCGAUAUAAGUUUUAUUUCUAUGCACAAACAUCAGCAGGAUCAGGAAGUCAGAUUACAGAGGAAGCAGUAACAACUGUGGAUGAAGGUAAGAUGGCUGGUAUUCUUCCACCUGAUGUAGGUGCAGGCAAAGUUCAAGCAGUAAAUCCCAGGAUCAGCAAUCUUACUGCUGCAGCUGCUGAGACCUAUGCCAAUAUCAGUUGGGAAUAUGAGGGACCAGAGCAUGUCAUCUUUUAUGUUGAAUAUGGUGUAGCAGGCAGCAAAGAAGAAUGGAGAAAAGAAAUUGUAAAUGGUUCUCGGAGCUUCUUUGGGUUAAAGGGUCUAAUGCCAGGAACAGCAUACAAAGUUCGAGUUGGUGCAGUGGGGGACUCUGGUUUUGUGAGUUCAGAGGCUGUGUUUGAGACGGGCCCAGCGAUGGCAAGCCGGCAGGUGGAUAUUGCAACUCAGGGCUGGUUCAUUGGUCUCAUGUGUGCUGUGGCUCUCCUUAUCUUAAUUUUGCUGAUUGUUUGCUUCAUCAGAAGAAACAAGGGUGGUAAAUAUCCAGUUAAAGAAAAGGAAGAUGCCCAUGCUGACCCUGAAAUCCAGCCUAUGAAGGAAGACGAUGGGACGUUUGGAGAAUACAGACAGUAGGAUCUGCAUCCUUACUAGCAUAUAGAAAAAUCAGAGAAACAAUGCAACCAACAGUUGACGCGGAAGACCACAAGCCUUUGAAAAAAGGAAGUCGAACUCCUUCAGACAGGACUGUGAAAAAAGAAGACAGUGAUGACAGCCUGGUUGACUAUGGAGAAGGGGUGAACGGCCAGUUCAAUGAGGAUGGUUCCUUUAUUGGACAAUACAGUGGUAAGAAAGAGAAAGAACCGGCUGAAGGAAACGAAAGCUCAGAGGCACCUUCUCCUGUCAAUGCCAUGAAUUCCUUUGUUUAAUUUUUAAGCUCUUUGCCAAUAUCCCAUUUCUCUAGAAUGUUUAUCCUAGGCACUUGUUCGUCAGCCCUCUCAUACUAUGAACAUAUGGGUAGAGAGUGUGUUUUCUGCUGUAUGUUAAUAUUAUGAGAAUACUUAGAGCAAAAACGUAACCCAGUCAAAUGAUAUGUUAAUGUGAACUGGAAUGCAAAGUGCAUACUUUUUCAUUCAAAAUGGGUAUUCUUGAUUUCCUCAGAACUGAGAAAAAAUAAUGCAACAUCACCAACAGAUCCUGUUCUUUCCUCUUCAGGAUACAGCUCAAUAUGAUGCAUGAAAAAUGCUCCACAUUUAAAGGACAUCCCCGUGUAUGUUAUGAAAACAUGGUUUGAUACUUUGUUUAUACUAUCCUCAGCUGAACCCCUAAAUAUGAAUUCCGUUUUCAUUGUCAGGAGUGUUACUGUAGUAUUCUCUAGGACUUCAAUGUCUUUGUGGACAUUGUUGUGAAAUUGGUGACUCUAUGUCUAGCUGUCGUUAGUCUUUUUGGGAGACUGUUAGGAACAGUAUGUACAGUAUAUAUUUGCUAAAUGAGUUCAUUAUGACAGUCGCAUUGCUGAUGCUUACUGAGAACUAUUACCUGCUCUUGGCUCCUGUUACUCCAUAGGCUUCUUAAUCGUCCAGGCAUUACAGCAGCACAGUGUUCUACUUUGUACAUCCUUUCUGUGUUCCGUUGUUUUUAGGCAUAAACAAUGUGUAUUGCAAUGCAUUUCGGCAUUUGUGCCAUACUGAAAGAAUCAAAAACAAGUCAUUCAAAUUAAAUUUCAAACAUUACUCCAGAGGACACAGGGCAAGACACAUACAGUGCCUUCAGACAUUAAGCAUUCCAUAACGUACUGCAUUCUGUAUUAGCUGCUGCGGUCCCUUCUGAGUCCUAGAUUACUGUCAUUGUCUAAAAGUAACUUUUAAAAAGCAGAGUUCAUGAAAACUGCAAUGCUGGGAAAAGAAGGAAACAUGAAAAAUAAAAAUAAUGAGACAGUUUAUUUGAAAUAGCAUUUCCUCAUAAGCAUAAAAAGAAAAGCUUUGUCACCAGCUGAAGCACAUAAUGAUUUUGUGGUCCUUUAUGGCUUCUGCUGCAUUCAGUAAGAAAGGUGUCUACAUGCUAGAAAAUUAAUUUUAAAAAUUAAGUUAUUCUAACGCCAAAAGCAUACAAUAGCAUGCCAACAGUAAUAUAUUAUUCUCCAAGACUUUACCUAUGUGAGUUCAAAACUCUGCAGCAUUAAGCAGUGUGUAUGCAAAUUGCUACAGACACAUUUCAGAAUCUAAGAAAUCUGACAAGUGCUUAAAAGGCCAAUGGUCCAAGGGAUUACAUCUGCAGUUUAAAAAGUAAGUGUAUCUUCUAUCAUAUUCAUAAACAAUAUCUAUCAAAUGGGUUGCCUCCAAAUAUGAAAAUCUAUAACAACCUAUGGUUGAAGGAAUGCUCAGUUUCAUUUGCCAAUAAAUUGGUUUCUCAUAACUUGCAUCAAGUUUAAUUUUAAGUAAAGCUUUUUAUAUGUAGAUAUUUUGUUGAAUUUGUAAAUACACUUAAAGUGUAGAUGCUAUAUGCUUAUAGGUGUUACAUACAAAUAAAACUGCAAUGAUUAUGUUGUACUGUAUAAGAAGUAAGCUAAUUGAUGCAGUGAAUGGGAUUGGAAAGCAUCUACUUAAAUAACUGUUGGGUUCCCCUCUCCCCCUGCCUUUUUUGCUGUGAAACUGAAAUAGUGAAUUUUUCUACAUAUCGACAGCAGAUUUCUAGAUGAAAUCGUCAGAGCUUUGCCUAUGGGGCACAGUAGGCCUAGUCACUGGGCGUCUUCGAUAUAUGUAGGUGAAGCAUAGUUUAAAGUGAUCCCAGGUAAAGAUGGCCCUAAUACUUUCAUGUCUCUAUAUUUACUUUUCACAGAUCACCUUGUCUACUGAAAAUACAAAAAGACAAAACAGUUUGCUUUGGCAUCAGAGAGCACAAAGAUUAAAAGUUACUUUAAAUUUGCCAAUAUUUUGGGAGAACAAUAAAAAUACAGUUUUUCCUCUUCCAGACUGGUAGAUACUAAAUUUAUCUGUGCAUGAAAGGGUCACUUCUGUAAUAGUGCAACAGAUUUUGUAUUAAAAAUUAAAUGUGGUUUUAAAAGUUCCUCUCUCUUUUGUAAUUUAUCAUGUUCCCAGUGGAGUGUGAAUGUCCAAGUAAUGGUGUAUGUACGGUACAGGCAAAUGUGACUGGAUUUCCCUCAAAAAAAAGUAACUAUUAAACAGUCUUGAUCUCUU
This is a non-coding RNA of Saimiri boliviensis boliviensis (Bolivian squirrel monkey), 6741 nucleotides long. NCBI's taxonomy places the organism in Eukaryota, Metazoa, Chordata, Mammalia, Primates, Cebidae. The record is from RefSeq and is a predicted model, not a curated record.